Acanthopagrus latus (yellowfin seabream) is the source of this 231-nucleotide long non-coding RNA. RefSeq lists it as uncharacterized. The transcript has 2 exons. The record is from RefSeq and is a predicted model, not a curated record. NCBI's taxonomy places the organism in Eukaryota, Metazoa, Chordata, Actinopteri, Spariformes, Sparidae.
GGAACAGCUCUGACCUGUAUGGUGAUCAGACCCGGAGAGGAGCGACACCUGGUCCAACAAGGUGACGGACGAGCCGCCACAGGAUCUGAAGCAGGAAAACUGAGGAUCCGUCUUCUGAUGAAACUCCUUCAGGUGCUGCAGUUGUUUGGUGACUCUGGUUUCAGCUCAGACAGUGAGCACUGUGUUGUCUUUGCUGGUUAUUUACAUAAUAAAACCUUUUUUUGAAUUACA